This 864-nucleotide long non-coding RNA is filed under the name Triticum aestivum (bread wheat). RNAcentral's name for it is "long non-coding RNA (TAES_LNC018219)". The record is from RNAcentral. Lineage: Eukaryota; Viridiplantae; Streptophyta; Magnoliopsida; Poales; Poaceae.
UAUUUUUUCCAAAAAUCAUUUCUAGGUACAUAAGUAUCUAUUUAAUCAGAGAAAUAUCAAAAAAAAUUCCAAGAUUAAACCACUAGCAAGGAACGGUCAUUCCCGCCGUUUUGACCGCAUUUUGAAACGGGCAUAAAAAAUUCAAAAAAAAAUCAAAUAAUUGGGAAACCUUCGCAUUGUGUCAUUAUAUGUGGCCAAGUUCCCAGGAAAAAUAACAAACUUGUAAUACGGCAAUUAUUUAAAAAAAAUGUUCUCAGAAACGAGCUAUCACGUGUGUAGAUCAAUGGCUUUCAAGCCAAAUGAUCAAUCUUAUGGCCACAUUCAUGGCAUAGUUUGUUCAAAUGAUCUCAUAUUGUGCACAAGGGUGCAUAUUGGAAUGGCAAACAAUGUUGCCUAAGGAAGUUUUCAUUUUCUUUGGACGAAAAAACCAUCUUCCAUUUUUCGAGUGCCCAAAAGGAGGGUUUUUUGUGAGGGACCUCCCAAAUAAUUGUUGCAAAAUUGGACCAAAUCAUUUUUCAAAAAUACUAGGCCAUAUUUAAUGCACAAUUGACCAAAUGGUUGGGUGUAAAAAGUUUUGAUCCACCUCUCGUGAAAAAGACAAAUUUCCACCGAUUCAGCUGGAAGCGGGUCAAAUUUGAACUGUAGCUUCCUUGUAGUUUGCUCUUUAUUUUUUUCAAAAAUCAUUUCUAGGUACAUAAGUAUCUAUUUAAUCAGAGAAACACCAAAAAAAUCCAAGAUUCAACCACUAGCUAGGCACGGUCAUUCCCGCCGUUUUGACCGCAUUUUGAAACGGGCAUAAAAAAUUCAAAAAAACAAAAAAAUUGGGAAACCUUCGCAUUGUGCCAUUAUAUGUGGCCAAGUUCC